CUCAACCAGUUUCUUCUCGACUAACACCGACAAAUAAUGAAAAUCGUGUGAAACGAAAGGGUGAAACAACAACUCAACAUGUUGGAUCACCAAAGACACCUUCGGAAGGUCAUUCUCCAAACGCAGCCAAUGAAAAUGGAUCGUCGUUCCUACCACAUUCUCCAUCAUCGUCACCUGGUCAAGAAGAAAGUGUGGAGAGUCCUUUAGGUUCCGCUAGGGAAACACCUACAAACGAAGCAAGUUUCAUUGGAAGAUCACCAAAUAAUGAAGAUCAUUUGAAAACAUCAAGUGGGGCUCCUUCUUCAACACCUACAAUUGGAAAAUCAAUUCCAUCGUUGGAACCACAACAAGAAGACAUGGCAUCUCCACAAACAGGAUCUCCUCGACUAACACCGACAGAUAAUAAAAAUCAUGUGAAACGAAAGGGUCAAACAACAACGCAACAUGUUAGAUCACCAAAUUCACCUUUGGAAGGUCAUUCUCCAAACGCACCCAAUGAAAAUGGUUCGUCGUUCCUACCACAUUCUCCAUCAUCGUCACCUGGUCAAGAAGAAAGUGUGGAGAGUCCUUCAGGUUCCGCUAGGGAAACACCUACAAACGAAGCAAGUUUCAUUGGAAGAUCACCAAAUAAUGAAGUACAUUUGAAAACAUCAAGUGGGGUUCCUUCGUCAACACCUACAAUUGGAAAAUCAAUUCCAUCGUUGGAACCACAACAAGAAGACAUGGCAUCUCCUCAACCAGUUUCUUCUCGACUAACACCGACAAAUAAUGAAAAUCGUGUGAAACGAAAGGGUGAAACGACAACGCAACAUGUUGGAUCACCAAAUUCACCUUUGGAAGGUCAUUCUCCAAACGCACCCAAUGAAAAUGGUUCGUCGUUCCAACCACAUUCUCCAUCAUCGUCACCUGGUCAAGAAGAAAGUGUGGAGAGUCCUUCAGGUUCCGCUAGGGAAACACCUACAAACGAAGCAAGUUUCAUUGGAAGAUCACCAAAUAAUAAUGAAGAUCAUUUGAAAACAUCAAGUGGGGCUCCUUCGUCAACACCUACAAUUGGUAAAUCAAUUCCAUCGUUGGAACCACAACAAGAAGACAUGGCAUCUCCACAAACAGGAUCUCCUCGACGAACACCGACAGAUAAUAAAAAUCAUGUGAAACGAAAGGGUCAAACAACAACGCAACAUGUUAGAUCACCAAAUUCACCUUUGGAAGGUCAUUCUCCAAACGCACCCAAUGAAAAUGGUUCGUCGUUCCUACCACAUUCUCCAUCAUCGUCACCUGGUCAAGAAGAAAGUGUGGAGAGUCCUUCAGGUUCCGCUAGGGAAACACCUACAAACGAAGCAAGUUUCAUUGGAAGAUCACCAAAUAAUGAAGAUCAUUUGAAAACAUCAAGUGGGGCUCCUUCGUCAACACCUACAAUUGGAAAAUCAAUUCCAUCGUUGGAACCACAACAAGAAGACAUGGCAUCUCCUCAACCAGUUUCUUCUCGACUAACCCCGACAAAUAAUGAAAAUCGUGUGAAACGAAAGGGUGAAACAACAACUCAACAUGUUGGAUCACCAAAGACACCUUUGGAAGGUCAUUCUCCAAACGCACCCAAUGAAAAUGGAUCGUCGUUCCUACCACAUUCUCCAUCAUCGUCACCUGGUCAAGAAGAAAGUGUGGAGAGUCCUUCAGGUUCCGCUAGGGAAACACCUACAAACGAAGCAAGUUUCAUUGGAAGAUCACCAAAUAAUAAUGAAGAUCAUUUGAAAAUAUCAAGUGAGGCUCCUUCGUCAACACCUACAAUUGGUAAAUCAAUUCCAUCGUUGGAACCACAACAAGAAGACAUGGCAUCUCCACAAACAGGAUCUCCUCGACUAACACCGACAGAUAAUGAAAAUCAUGUGAAACGAAAGGGUCAAACAACAACGCAACAUGUUGGAUCACCAAAGACACCUUUGGAAGGUCAUUCUCCAAACGCACCCAAUGAAAAUGGAUUGUCGUUCCUACCACAUUCUCCAUCAUCGUCACCUGGUCAAGAAGAAAGUGUGGAGAGUCCUUCAGGUUCCGCUAGGGAAACACCAACAAACGAAGCAAGUUUCAUUGGAAGAUCACCAAAUAAUGAAGAUCAUUUGAAAACAUCAAGUGGGGCUCCUUCGUCAACACCUACAAUUGGAAAAUCAAUUCCAUCGUUGGAACCACAACAAGAAGACAUGGCAUCUCCUCAACCAGUUUCUUCUCGACUAACACCGACAAAUAAUGAAAAUCGUGUGAAACGAAAGGGUGAAACAACAACUCAACAUGUUGGAUCACCAAAUUCACCUUUGGAAGGUCAUUCUCCAAACGCACCCAAUGAAAAUGGUUCGUCGUUCCAACCACAUUCUCCAUCAUCGUCACCUGGUCAAGAAGAAAGUGUGGAGAGUCCUUUAGGUUCCGCUAGGGAAACACCUACAAACGAAGCAAGUUUCAUUGGAAGAUCACCAAAUAAUGAAGAUCAUUUGAAAACAUCAAGUGGGGCUCCUUCGUCAACACCUACAAUUGGUAAAUCAAUUCCAUCGUUAGAACCACAACAAGAAGACAUGGCAUCUCCACAAACAGGAUCUCCUCGACUAACACCGACAGAUAAUAAAAAUCAUGUGAAACGAAAGGGUCAAACAACAACGCAACAUGUUAGAUCACCAAAUUCACCUUUGGAAGGUCAUUCUCCAAACGCACCCAAUGAAAAUGGUUCGUCGUUCCUACCACAUUCACCAUCAUCGUCACCUGGUCAAGAAGAAAGUGUGGAGAGUCCUUCAGGUUCCGCUAGGGAAACACCUACAAACGAAGCAAGUUUCAUUGGAAGAUCACCAAAUAAUAAUGAAGAUCAUUUGAAAACAUCAAGUGAGGCUCCUUCGUCAACACCUACAAUUGGUAAAUCAAUUCCAUCGUUGGAACCACAACAAGAAGACAUGGCAUCUCCACAAACAGGAUCUCCUCGACUAACACCGACAGAUAAUAAAAAUCAUGUGAAACGAAAGGGUCAAACAACAACGCAACAUGUUAGAUCACCAAAUUCAC
This 3036-nucleotide long non-coding RNA is filed under the name Zostera marina. Its description in RNAcentral is "long non-coding RNA (ZMAR_LNC004438)". The record is from RNAcentral. Lineage: Eukaryota; Viridiplantae; Streptophyta; Magnoliopsida; Alismatales; Zosteraceae.